CCUACGGGAGGCAGCAGUGAGGAAUAUUGGUCAAUGGGCGGGAGCCUGAACCAGCCAAGUCGCGUGCGGGAAGACGGUCCUAUGGAUUGUAAACCUCUUUAGGCGGGGAGCAAUGCCGGGCACGCGUGCCCGGAGGGAGAGUACCCGCAGAAUAAGCAUCGGCUAACUCCGUGCCAGCAGCCGCGGUAAUAGGGAGGAUGCGAGCGUUAUCCGGAAUUAUUGGGUUUAAAGGGUGCGUAGGCGGAUUUUUAAGUCAGCGGUAAAAUGUCGGGGCUCAACCCGGGCCGGCCGUUGAAACUGGGGAUCUUGAGUGGGCGAGAAGUAUGCGGAAUGCGUGGUGUAGCGGUGAAAUGCAUAGAUAUCACGCAGAACUCCGAUUGCGAAGGCAGCAUACCGGCGCCCGACUGACGCUGAGGCACGAAAGCGUAGGGAGCGAACAGGAUUAGAUACCCUUGUAGUC
RNAcentral lists this ribosomal RNA (460 nucleotides) under uncultured bacterium. RNAcentral describes it as "partial 16S ribosomal RNA". It matches the Rfam family "Bacterial small subunit ribosomal RNA", at positions 338 to 795 of the family's 1533-position model. The record is from RNAcentral.